GUGAAACUGUUGGGGGUUUUUCAUAGUAUACCAUGGUACGAGUGUUGCAAAAUAGUCAUUUGCUCUAUUUUCUCUGCUGGUGUGAAGAAACUGCUAUGUACAUAUGCACAGAUGUUAGCUUACCUUCAAUGUUCAAUACAACCUUAUUUGUAAAAGAAAAAAAAACUUUUGAGGAACAAUAUUUAGGCUUCAUUAUCUGAUUAAUAAUAGGUCUCUAGUGAUGCCUUGGCUUCUUUAUAGGUAACUGUUGGCUUUUCUAUAGGUACUGGUAACUAGAGAAAUUAUACUGACCACACUAUGUCCACUGAAGUGAAACACAUAUAUCGACUAAGACACCAGCUUUAGCUAUCAGUUACUGUUUUACCUAAUUUCCUUUAAAGUACUUCAUAUCUGAGGAGAGCAACGUUGGCCGUAGGAGGAAUUGUUGAAUUCAAAAUGUUUUUUUUUUGUUUGUCUAUUUACUUUUACAUUCAUAGGUUGGCAGAAUAAGCAUAGUAUCAACAAAUACUGAGUCAUUCAUUGCAUCAGUAAGUUAAUUUGACUAUCCCUUUUAUAUGUAUUUUCAUCCACAACAUGAAAGUACUUAGUGUGUACUCUGCUUAAAGAAAUGUAUUAACUCCAAACAGUUGUCAAAAUGGUCUUAUGAACUCCAAAACAUUCGCCUCAAUGAGGUUUUGCACUAAUACCACACGGUCUCAUCUUUAGUCAUGCAAUCUCUGAUCUCAUCAAAGUGCAUUUUAGCAAUAGCCAGGUGUAUCCUGUACUGUAUCCUUAUGGGGAAGGUUUCUGUGUUGUUCUCAAUGACACUAGCACACAAAUACUAAUUUUGUUAUACAUUUGUAAUGAUAUUUUAGUUUUUUUUGUGUGUGUGCAUGUGUGUGUGGAGAUAUGUAGGUUGAGUGUGCAUGAGUGUUUGUUGUAAUGUACUUGUGUGUGGCACUGUACUUCAUAAAUAGUAGACUAAUCUCUCAGCUGCCAUGAGUCAUGUGAUUCCUGUCAUGGGGGAUAUAGGCUGCUUCCCAAAAUGACACCCUAUUCCCUUGGUCAAAAUUAGUCCACUGUGUAGGGAAUAGGGUACCAUUUGGGACGUACCCCUAUGAAUAUAACCAGUAUGAUGUACCUGUACCCUAAUGUUCUCACAUCAGUUUACCUGAAAUCCUAAAGGUGCCUUACUUAUCCCCGGUAAUGUUUUUGCAGUCCUGGUUCUCAUGCCCAUAUGUUAGAGAACUCACACUUUUCACUUGGCAGUAUACAAUGGGUUUUCUUUGCCAAAUAAUUGUGUUAUGUGCAACUGUACAAAUGAGCUACCAGCUACCACUUAAAAGUAUAAUUGGCUCAACGUUUUACCCUAAGAACAAUGUGUUUUUGUUUAAAGAAUGUAAUUUGUCAUUGAUAAUAAUUACAAAUUGCUUUCAACUUGCUAUACAUCUGUUGUAACUAGAUAACUUUCUGGUCAGUUCAUGUUUGAUGUACUUUAAACUAUUUAUCUUUAACAGAAAAGACAGACAUUUCUCAUUACAAAUCAUUUGCUUGAGGGUUGUGAAUUGUACCAGUAAGCAAUUAGUGACACACUCAUCCUUGUAUCUGUCUUCCAAGAGUUUGAUUCCAUUACUUUCAUAAACAGCUUCAUUUUCAGUAUUAAGGAUUUUGACAAUUGCAGGACAAUGUGUGCAUGGUUGUUAUUCUAUUUUAUAAAUGAAUGUUAAUGCA
Long non-coding RNA from Oncorhynchus tshawytscha (Chinook salmon), 1710 nucleotides. The record is from Ensembl. NCBI's taxonomy places the organism in Eukaryota, Metazoa, Chordata, Actinopteri, Salmoniformes, Salmonidae.